This is a non-coding RNA of Cyanistes caeruleus (blue tit), 2223 nucleotides long. The record is from RefSeq and is a predicted model, not a curated record. Lineage: Eukaryota; Metazoa; Chordata; Aves; Passeriformes; Paridae.
AAAGAAAAAAAAAAAAAGGAGCAAAACAGAAAGGAAGAAAAAGCAAACCAGCAAACCCUUCUUCAUUGAGUAAAAAUUUCCAUUGACAGUGUCCCACUUGGUAUUACCUGGGAAAAAUAGAAAAUGUUCCCUUCACCUGAUUUUGAGAAGUGAUAAAGUGAAACCUGUUUCUCUAAAGCAGUGGUGGGAUCAGAGCUGGCCAUGAUAUCCCAGCUGUCAUCACCCUCCAGUGAGGAGGGAAACGAGGGAGAAGCAGCCGCCCGUGGCACAAGUGCAGGAGAGACUUGAUGGUCCAUUUGUCUCCACGGACUCCAGCUGAGCAAAAGCCUGGAGGUCCUUGGCAGCUGAGCUAGGGGCUGUACGCACGUAAUAAGACAAGUGGUCUUCUCUGCAGUUCAAGAAGAGAGAAACAAGAGCUGGAAACCAAGAAGCAUUGUAUAAAGCACAGUAUGUGCUUGAUGAAGGAGGAUGUACUUCUGUUCAACAGCCCAUCCUUUAGUCGAAGGACAGCAGGCCUACUGGUGCUGACAGCAGAUGGCUCAGAAUAUUCUCACAGGAGAGCAUGAAGUAACUGGAGAGAUUGGAUAAUUGCAUUCAUGCUGUUGGCCCUGGAGUCCAGAGCUGUUACAGGCUGCGAAGGAGCGCAAAGAAAAGAGUUGACCACGAUGGAUGUGCAGCAGUAACGAGGUGAAAUUGCAGUGCCCUUUCCACAGAACUGAUAGCCUGUUAAAUAUUCCUCUGUAAACAGGAGUAAAUGAACAGGCAGAGAUGCCUCAGACGUCUGGCAAAAAUGUUGUUAAUUCAGAUGUGUGGCUGGGGUUGAACAAGUGGCGCAAAGCUGAGAGCUGUCUUGUGUUCAGUUUGUUUAUUUUUAAAAGCUUGUGCUUCCUCCCAUUUGUCUUGGCCAUUCUGUUGAAUAUAUUCAACAAAGAAAUAGGAACUGUGUACAACUGGAAGCAUUUCCAGAUGGGUUCUGUGUUACAAGAGGAAAUACAAUCUGUUGGACACAUAUAACAAUAUAUAGAAACAAAGGCUAUACACCUCUGGCUUGAAAGUACAUUUAGCAUAGUAAAUCCUCAGAGUACACCUGAAGGAGUGAAAUGUGCUCACCAUCAGCACAUGUUGCUGCUAGUGCCUCCCUCAAAUAAAAUUUUCAAGGAGGCAGGGUAUAGGAGUGAGAAUAAACUAUUAAAUGCCUUGCUAUCUCUCAAGCCAAGUGACAGAAUUUCUGCUGGAGAACUGAGCUGUUUUGCUUCUUAUCUUAUAUAUGUAGAGCUGGAAACACAUAUGAGAACACAAUAUCAGAACCAAACCCCAGACCCUGAUGUGUUGGCUCUGUAAGCUUCCUCCAGGGGAUUUUACAGAAACCAUGGCUUCAUGUCUCGUUGCACAUGUCUAAAUAAGUAGUAAAGACAAGAAUUUUGCAUUAGAGAUGGUACAGUACAACAGCAAGGUUAUUAAUUUAUUUGCCCCUGGCAAAAGCAUUUCAUGGCUGUAGCCAUCAGCUCCAAUUAUUUGUUACAGCGUCUCGACUUCUUUGAGUAUUGUUUAUCCAACAGUAUUUAUGUGGAAGCUCAUUUGUGAGAGGUUUAAACAUUUUUUACAGGGUGAAGUUGGUAUGUGUUUAGCAUAAAUACAAAUUAUUUUAGAGAAGGAGGGGAAGACACAGACCAAAAUUGGCUGUAAACAGCUGCUGAAUUCACAACAGGGAGCUGGACUUAAAUGGGUUUUAAUACUUCAGAUUCCUCCCCAGUCCUUUUAUUUUCUCUAAAGCAAUUGCCAGCAAAACCACAUCUUAUUUCCCCUUGCUGAGACAGACCUAAGCAUCCCCCAUUCUUUGAGAAUGUCCAAAUUCCUGUAGGCAGACGCCCAGGAAUGUGUAAUUUAAAAACAACAAAAAGAAAGUAAAUAGAUGAGGAGAAGAAAAAUAUGAUAGCUGCAAGGGUAAUACUGCAUUCAUAACCAGUUAAAAAAAUAGACAAAUAUAAAGUGUCCUCCUGACUGUAAAACCUUAGCAGGUAGGUAUUAGCACUCGAUUUAUAUUCUUACAUAUUUGAUAGGUAAAAAAUUUGAUUUGCAUCUCAUAUGCAUACUGCUGCUAUUUUUGCAUGUCAUCUUACAACAGAUGCUGCUCUGUAGAAAUGACAGGUGGAUAAAACCCAGAUUCUUUUAUGAGAAUGAGAAUUUCUGGAAGUUUUUAUCCUCCCUCAAAAAAAAAAAAAA